GAUGAACGCUGACAGAAUGCUUAACACAUGCAAGUCUACUUGAAUUUGGGUUUUUUAACUUAGAUUUGGGUGGCGGACGGGUGAGUAACGCGUAAAGAACUUGCCUCACAGCUAGGGACAACAUUUGGAAACGAAUGCUAAUACCUGAUAUUAUGAUUAUAAGGCAUCUUAGGAUUAUGAAAGCUAUAUGCGCUGUGAGAGAGCUUUGCGUCCCAUUAGCUAGUUGGAGAGGUAACGGCUCACCAAGGCGAUGAUGGGUAGCCGGCCUGAGAGGGUGAACGGCCACAAGGGGACUGAGACACGGCCCUUACUCCUACGGGAGGCAGCAGUGGGGAAUAUUGGACAAUGGACCAAGAGUCUGAUCCAGCAAUUCUGUGUGCACGAUGACGUUUUUCGGAAUGUAUAGUGCUUUCAGUUGGGAAGAAAAAAAUGACGGUACCAACAGAAGAAGUGACGGCUAAAUACGUG
This 468-nucleotide ribosomal RNA is filed under the name uncultured bacterium. RNAcentral's name for it is "partial 16S ribosomal RNA". It matches the Rfam family "Bacterial small subunit ribosomal RNA", at positions 28 to 507 of the family's 1533-position model. The record is from RNAcentral.